Long non-coding RNA from Syngnathus typhle (broad-nosed pipefish), 603 nucleotides. RefSeq lists it as uncharacterized. NCBI's taxonomy places the organism in Eukaryota, Metazoa, Chordata, Actinopteri, Syngnathiformes, Syngnathidae. The transcript is spliced from 2 exons. The record is from RefSeq and is a predicted model, not a curated record.
GACGGGCCAAUGAUUCGGCGUGGACCGGUACUGGAUCUCACUGGGGAAGGACUUCUACGAGGUGGACCAAGGCCACGGCGAGGACGACGCCUCAGUGGAGGUGCCGCUGAGGCGGAGAAGCUCCUUGCGUAGGUAUCGGUACUCAGGAAGGCGGCGCUCAGAAGGAUCAGGACUUCUGGGCCAAUGUAUGGCUGAUCCAAAGUGUUUCCCAACUCAGCCCAAAACUUUUGUCUCUGUAGUUUUCCACAUUGAAGCACAUCAGGCAGUAAGAAAGAGCCAAGGAUCGUUUGACACUUGGAGAUGCUUAUUAAUUGAAAACAACACGCCGUCAAAGUCACUACGUUUCGGGCCGAGGCGAAGAUGUCGCUGCCCCCCGGACGUACUUUUGCCUCCAAAGUGGGAGCCCGGCUCGGAGUUUUCGCCACGAUCUUCACAGGCCAGCAAGUAAUGAAGUCAGGGGGGAGACCAAGUCGGAUGAUGAGAGCAACUGCGUGUCAAUGCGAUGCAACAUCAGCUCGCUUCAUGGCUCAAAAAAAAAAAAAACUCCAAAACAUUCCAGUCAAGAGAGAAAGAAAAGAUGAAGCACGCCAGGCUUGCUGUUAA